This 505-nucleotide ribosomal RNA is filed under the name uncultured bacterium. RNAcentral's name for it is "partial 16S ribosomal RNA". It matches the Rfam family "Bacterial small subunit ribosomal RNA", at positions 28 to 507 of the family's 1533-position model. The record is from RNAcentral.
GACGAACGCUGGCGGCGUGCCUAAUACAUGCAAGUAGAACGCACAGUUUAUACCGUAGCUUGCUACACCAUAAACUGUGAGUUGCGAACGGGUGAGUAACGCGUAGGUAACCUGCCUGGUAGCGGGGGAUAACUAUUGGAAACGAUAGCUAAUACCGCAUAAUAUUGAUUAUUGCAUGAUAAUUGAUUGAAAGAUGCUAUUGCAUCACUACCAGAUGGACCUGCGUUGUAUUAGCUAGUAGGUGAGGUAACGGCUCACCUAGGCGACGAUACAUAGCCGACCUAAGAGGGUGAUCGGCCACACUGGGACCGAGACACGGCCCAGACUCCUACGGGAGGCAGCAGUAGGGAAUCUUCGGCAAUGGACGAAAGGCUGACCGAGCAACGCCGCGUGAGUGAAGAAGGUUUUCGGAUCGUAAAGCUCUGUUGUAAGAGAAGAACGGGUGUGAGAGUGGAAAGUUCACACUGUGACGGUAUCUUACCAGAAAGGGACGGCUAACUACGUG